AUGGAGCACUGGACAGAGGGUCUCGUGGAUGUUGCCGCGGCCAUCGACGGGGAGCUGGCGCAGCUGAGGAUGGAGGAUCUUGCGUAUUCCUCCAAUGAGCAUCUCCGACCCAGCGCCAAGCUCAGCUUGUUCUUCAAAGGCGUGGCGACGGCCCUCCAGCGGCUCCGGGAGAGGAUCCCAAAGCAGCUGGCCGACGAGUCGCGCAAGAUCUGCGCGGGGGCUCUUCAAAAGGUGCUGGUGAAGGUGGCCUUCCACAACCCAGGCCUCAACCUCACCAACGUCCUCAGGACCUUGCCGCCGGAUGCUGAUCUGGAAGCGCUCAAGGCCCUUGUCGCACCCAUUGUGGACAAGGUGAGCGGGAUCAAGAGGGUUGAGGGCGAUCGCGUAGAUUAG
Molecule: ribosomal RNA, 393 nt
Filed under: Triticum aestivum (bread wheat)
Lineage: Eukaryota; Viridiplantae; Streptophyta; Magnoliopsida; Poales; Poaceae
Description: partial small subunit ribosomal RNA
Source: RNAcentral